UCGUACACUGCGGUUCCUGUGCGCCGUCCGCACCCGCCUGACGACUGCUCGCGACGUUUUGUUAGCC
The sequence is a small RNA, 67 nucleotides long. It matches the Rfam family "Xanthomonas sRNA sX9", at positions 10 to 76 of the family's 76-position model.